CCUACGGGAGGCAGCAGUGAGGAAUAUUGGUCAAUGGCCGGAAGGCUGAACCAGCCAAGCCGCGUGAAGGACGAAGGUGCCAAGCAUUGUAAACUUCUUUUGUCAAGGGACAAAAUCAGGCUCGAGAGCCUGACCGAGGGUACUUGAAGAAAAAGCAUCGGCUAACUCCGUUCCAGCAGCCGCGGUAAUACGGAGGAUGCGGGCGUUAUCCGGAUUUAUGGGGUUUAAAGGGUGCGUAGGCGGACUGGUAAGUCAGCGGUAAAAGCCCGGGGCUCAACCCCGGCGAGCCGUUGAAACUGGCUGUCUUGAGAUGUCGAGAGGUAUGCGGAAUGCGCAGUGUAGCGGUGAAAUGCUUAGAUAUUGCGCAGAACUCCGAUUGCGAAGGCAGCGUACCGGCGCCGGACUGACGCUGAGGCACGAAAGCGUGGGUAUCGAACAGGAUUAGAUACCCCAGUAGUC
RNAcentral lists this ribosomal RNA (459 nucleotides) under uncultured bacterium. Its description in RNAcentral is "partial 16S ribosomal RNA". It matches the Rfam family "Bacterial small subunit ribosomal RNA", at positions 338 to 795 of the family's 1533-position model. The record is from RNAcentral.